AGCGUUGUUCGGAAUUACUGGGCGUAAAGCGCACGUAGGCGGUUAUUCAAGUCAGAGGUGAAAGCCCGGAGCUCAACUCCGGAAUAGCCUUUGAAACUGGAAGACUUGAAUCUUGGAGAGGUCAGUGGAAUUCCGAGUGUAG
Molecule: ribosomal RNA, 142 nt
Filed under: uncultured Alphaproteobacteria bacterium
Lineage: Bacteria; Pseudomonadati; Pseudomonadota; Alphaproteobacteria
Description: partial 16S ribosomal RNA
Rfam family: Bacterial small subunit ribosomal RNA
Source: RNAcentral